UAGCUAGUUGGUGAGGUAAAGGCUUACCAAGGCGACGAUCUGUAGCGGGUCUGAGAGGAUGAUCCGCCACACUGGAACUGAGACACGGUCCAGACUCCUACGGGAGGCAGCAGUGGGGAAUUUUGGACAAUGGGGGCAACCCUGAUCCAGCCAUGCCGCGUGAGUGAAGAAGGCCUUCGGGUUGUAAAGCUCUUUCGGCCGGGAAGAAAUCGCAUGGGCCAAUACCCUGUGUGGAUGACGGUACCGGAAUAAGAAGCACCGGCUAACUACGUGCCAGCAGCCGCGGUAAUACGUAGGGUGCGAGCGUUAAUCGGAAUUACUGGGCGUAAAGCGUGCGCAGGCGGUUUUGUAAGACAGGCGUGAAAUCCCCGGGCUUAACCUGGGAACUGCGUUUGUGACUGCAAGGCUAGAGUACGGCAGAGGGGGGUGGAAUUCCACGUGUAGCAGUGAAAUGCGUAGAGAUGUGGAGGAACACCAAUGGCGAAGGCAGCCCCCUGGGUCGAUACUGACGCUCAUGCACGAAAGCGUGGGUAGCAAACAGGAUUAGAUACCCUGGUAGUCCACGCCCUAAACUAUGUCAACUGGGUGUUGGGUGGGUAAAACCAUUUAGUACCGUAGCUAACGCGUGAAGUUGACCGCCUGGGGAGUACGGCCGCAAGGUUAAAACUCAAAGGAAUUGACGGGGACCCGCACAAGCGGUGGAUGAUGUGGAUUAAUUCGAUGCAACGCGAAAAACCUUACCUACCCUUGACAUGCCAGGAACUUGCCAGAGAUGGCUUGGUGCCCGAAAGGGAGCCUGGACACAGGUGCUGCAUGGCUGUCGUCAGCUCGUGUCUUGAGAUGUUGGGUUAAGUCCCGCAACGAGCGCAACCCUUGUCGUUAAUUGCCAUCAUUUAGUUGGGCACUUUAACGAGACUGCCGGUGACAAACCGGAGGAAGGUGGGGAUGACGUCAAGUCCUCAUGGCCCUUAUGGGUAGGGCUUCACACGUCAUACAAUGGUCGGUACAAAGGGUUGCCAAGCCGCGAGGCGGAGCCAAUCCCAGAAAGCCGAUCGUAGUCCGGAUUGCAGGCUGCAACUCGCCUGCAUGAAGUCGGAAUCGCUAGUAAUCGUGGAUCAGCAUGUCACGGUGAAUACGUUCCCGGGUCUUGUACACACCGCCCGUCACACCAUGGGAGCGGGUUCCGCCAGAAGUAGGUAGCCUAACCGCAAGGGGGGCGCUUACCACGGCGGGGUUCGUGACUGGGGUGAAGUCGUAACAAGGUAGCCGUAGGGGAACCUGCGGCUG
Molecule: ribosomal RNA, 1287 nt
Filed under: metagenome
Description: bacterial SSU rRNA
Rfam family: Bacterial small subunit ribosomal RNA
Source: RNAcentral